This is a non-coding RNA of Abortiporus biennis, 97 nucleotides long. The record is from the annotation of a GenBank genome assembly. NCBI's taxonomy places the organism in Eukaryota, Fungi, Basidiomycota, Agaricomycetes, Polyporales, Podoscyphaceae.
GCCGGGAUAGCUCAGCUGGGAGAGCGACAGACUGAAGUGAACAGCUCAUGCUGUGACUUUCUUCUGCAGGUCAGGUGUUCAAUCCACCUUCCUGGCA